RNAcentral lists this ribosomal RNA (723 nucleotides) under uncultured archaeon S30-5. RNAcentral's name for it is "bacterial SSU rRNA". It matches the Rfam family "Archaeal small subunit ribosomal RNA", at positions 108 to 829 of the family's 1478-position model. The record is from RNAcentral.
CUUGCCCUUGGGUCUGGCAUAACUCCGGGAAACUGGAGAUAAUUCCGGAUAACGCAUAUAUGCUGGAAUNCUUUAUGCGUAAAAUGGAUUCGUCUGCCCAAGGAUGGGUCUGCGGCCUAUCAGGUAGUAGUGGGUGUAAUGUACCUACUAGCCUACGACGGGUACGGGUUGUGAGAGCAAGAGCCCGGAGAUGGAUUCUGAGACAUGAAUCCAGGCCCUACGGGGCGCAGCAGGCGCGAAAACUUUACAAUGCGGGAAACCGUGAUAAGGGGACACCGAGUGCCAGCAUCAUAUGCUGGCUGUCCAGGUGUGUAAAAUACACCUGUUAGCAAGGGCCGGGCAAGACCGGUGCCAGCCGCCGCGGUAACACCGGCGGCCCGAGUGGUGAUCGUGAUUAUUGGGUCUAAAGGGUCCGUAGCCGGUUUGGUCAGUCCUCCGGGAAAUCUGAUAGCUCAACUAUUAGGCUUUCGGAGGAUACUGCCAGACUUGGAACCGGGAGAGGUAAGAGGUACUACAGGGGUAGGAGUGAAAUCUUGUAAUCCCUGUGGGACCACCUGUGGCGAAGGCGUCUUACCAGAACGGGUUCGACGGUGAGGGACGAAAGCUGGGGGCACGAACCGGAUUAGAUACCCGGGUAGUCCCAGCCGUAAACGAUGCUCGCUAGGUGUCAGGCAUGGCGCGACCGUGUCUGGUGCCGCAGGGAAGCCGUGAAGCGAGCCACUU